This 641-nucleotide ribosomal RNA is filed under the name uncultured bacterium. Its description in RNAcentral is "bacterial SSU rRNA". It matches the Rfam family "Bacterial small subunit ribosomal RNA", at positions 69 to 757 of the family's 1533-position model. The record is from RNAcentral.
AGACCUUCGGGUCUAGCGGCGGACGGGUUAGUAACGCGUGGGAACGUGCCCUUCUCUGCGGAAUAGCCACUGGAAACGGUGAGUAAUACCGCAUACGCCCUUCGGGGGAAAGAUUUAUCGGAGAAGGAUCGGCCCGCGUUAGAUUAGAUAGUUGGUGGGGUAAUGGCCUACCAAGUCUACGAUCUAUAGCUGGUUUUAGAGGAUGAUCAGCAACACUGGGACUGAGACACGGCCCAGACUCCUACGGGAGGCAGCAGUGGGGAAUCUUAGACAAUGGGCGCAAGCCUGAUCUAGCCAUGCCGCGUGUGUGAUGAAGGUCUUAGGAUCGUAAAGCACUUUCGCCAGGGAUGAUAAUGACAGUACCUGGUAAAGAAACCCCGGCUAACUCCGUGCCAGCAGCCGCGGUAAUACGGAGGGGGUUAGCGUUGUUCGGAAUUACUGGGCGUAAAGCGUACGUAGGCGGAUCAGAAAGUAAGGGGUGAAAUCCCAGGGCUCAACCCUGGAACUGCCUCUUAAACUCCUGGUCUUGAAUUCGAGAGAGGUGAGUGGAAUUCCAAGUGUAGAGGUGAAAUUCGUAGAUAUUUGGAGGAACACCAGUGGCGAAGCGGCUCACUGGCUCGAUACUGACGCUGAGGUACGAA